Molecule: unclassified non-coding RNA, 400 nt
Filed under: soil metagenome
Description: partial contains 5.8S ribosomal RNA, internal transcribed spacer 2, and large subunit ribosomal RNA
Rfam family: 5.8S ribosomal RNA (bases 1-122)
Source: RNAcentral
GAUGAAGAACGUAGCGAAAUGCGAUACUUGGUGUGAAUUGCAGAAUCCCGUGAACCAUCGAGUCUUUGAACGCAAGUUGCGCCUCAAGCCAUUAGGUUGAGGGCACGUCUGCCUGGGCGUCACAUAUCGUUGCCUGAUGCCAGUUUCCUCGUGAUGGGUGACUGUGCAGGGCGAAUGAUGGCUUCCCGUGAGCAUUGUUGCCUCAUGGUUGGUUGAAAAUUGAGUCCUUGGUAGGGAGCGCCGUGAUAGAUGGUGGAUGAGUGACGAACGAGACCCAAUCAUGUGAGACCCCUACCGAAUUUGGCCUUCAUGACCCACAUGCGUCUUUGGAACGCUCAUCACGAGACCUCAGGUCAGGCGGGGCUACCCGCUGAGUUUAAGCAUAUCAAUAAGCGGAGGA